CCCUUAGAUGUUCUGGGCCGCACGCGCGCUACACUGACUACUUCAACGAGUUGUUUCCUUGAUCGAAAGGUCUGGGUAAUCUUUGAAAGGUAGUCGUGAUGGGGAUAGAUCCUUGCAAUUUUUGAUCUUCAACGAGGAAUUCCUAGUAAACGCAAGUCAUCAGCUUGCAUUGAUUACGUCCCUGCCCUUUGUACACACCGCCCGUCGCACCUACCGAUUGAAUGGUCCGGUGAAUCUUUAGGACUGUGGCUGAGGCCUUGCCUUGUGCGGGUCUGGCCGUGGGAAUUUAGUUAAACCUUACCAUUUAGAGGAAGGUGAAGUCGCAACA
RNAcentral lists this ribosomal RNA (328 nucleotides) under uncultured eukaryote. RNAcentral's name for it is "partial 18S ribosomal RNA". It matches the Rfam family "Eukaryotic small subunit ribosomal RNA", at positions 1470 to 1796 of the family's 1831-position model. The record is from RNAcentral.